AAGAGUCCUCCAUAAAAAGCUUCUAACUUUUUUACAAGCAUGAACAAGUUUAGGCCUCUU
This 60-nucleotide transfer RNA is filed under the name Cautires linardi. RNAcentral's name for it is "tRNA-Ser". The record is from RNAcentral. Lineage: Eukaryota; Metazoa; Arthropoda; Insecta; Coleoptera; Lycidae.